This 257-nucleotide ribosomal RNA is filed under the name uncultured bacterium. Its description in RNAcentral is "partial 16S ribosomal RNA". It matches the Rfam family "Bacterial small subunit ribosomal RNA", at positions 524 to 776 of the family's 1533-position model. The record is from RNAcentral.
UACGUAGGGUGCAAGCGUUAAUCGGAAUUACUGGGCGUAAAGCGUGCGCAGGCGGUUUCGUAAGUCUGACGUGAAAUCCCCCGGGCUCAACCUGGGAAUUGCGUUGGAGACUGCAAGGCUGGAGUCUGGCAGAGGGGGGGUAGAAUUCCACGUGUAGCAGUGAAAUGCGUAGAGAUCGGAAAAGAACACCAACGGCGAAAAGCACUCUGCUGGGCCGACACUAACACUGAGAGACGAAAGCUAGGGGAGCGAAUGGG